CCAAAACUCAGAUCCACCACUGUCGUCACAAUCUCACCGGUAAAAGUCUCUUCCCUCACCAAUCUUCAGCUCCUACACCGAAAACCUCCAAAACUUAGGGUUUCUUCCCUCUUUUGGAAUUUCUUUCCAUUUUGACCGGUUAAAUCCUUCUUUGCCGAUUAAAACACCAUUCCCACCGUUUAAUCGGUCCAAAUUGAGUUUUCCCCUUCUUCUAGGGUUUUGUCGGUCUA
RNAcentral lists this long non-coding RNA (230 nucleotides) under Vigna radiata. RNAcentral's name for it is "long non-coding RNA (VRAD_LNC016196)". Lineage: Eukaryota; Viridiplantae; Streptophyta; Magnoliopsida; Fabales; Fabaceae. The record is from RNAcentral.